AACUUUCUCCUGCCGGCACCAAGGACAGAAGUCAAAUCUGUGGACUGAGUCUUGAAAAAAGAACUCACUCACCAAUAAAUGCAUUUUAGUUCAGACGGGUACUCUUCGUACACAAGGCACCCCUGCCUGGCAGAAGACUGCCAAACACCUGCUCAAGUUCCUUGGAUUUUCUUCUUGCAAAAACUAUUUGCUGCUUGGGAGAGAGGCAACACGGUUUCUUCUCCAGCUUUUGCUUGACAGGCCAACAGAAGAACUCAGAGUGAACAGGUCAGUUCAGGAAUAAGAUGGGCCUAUGCAGAUCAAAACAAUGGUAAGUAUCAAUGUGCACAGCAGUGGGUUUUUUUUCCUGCAUAAAAGUAGCAUAUUAUUCUCAGUGCUUUUGAUUACUGAAAGCUCUAUUUUAUUAUCUGACUAAACUGGAAUUUAGGCUGUCUCUCCCUAGCCACAAACACAUAUCUCAUUUGCAGAUGGCAUAAACAUGCACUGUCUCAUGGAAACAGUGCAGAAUUUUUUCCCGCUCUUAUCUUGUACGGAAAAUUCGGAUCUAAGAAUGAUGUUAAAAUGCGA
RNAcentral lists this long non-coding RNA (567 nucleotides) under Struthio camelus australis. RNAcentral's name for it is "lncRNA (ENSSCUG00000010652.1)". The record is from RNAcentral. Lineage: Eukaryota; Metazoa; Chordata; Aves; Struthioniformes; Struthionidae.